This 211-nucleotide unclassified non-coding RNA is filed under the name Hevea brasiliensis (rubber tree). The record is from RNAcentral. Lineage: Eukaryota; Viridiplantae; Streptophyta; Magnoliopsida; Malpighiales; Euphorbiaceae.
GACGAAGUUAGAAGAGGCAAUUGUUGUGAUUCAAGCUAUGAUAGGAAUCGUCUCAGAGUAUGUACCCCUUCAUUGGAAAACAUCCCAGUGACAGCAGUAUCUUCAGAAAUACUCACAGCCUCAGAUACAUUUUCUUGUGAUCUAGCAGAGUCCAUCUUUUUUCCUCUACGCCCUUUAGUUGGGCGGCUGUGCAGCUUCCAACAUUGUUCUU